GUUCAAACAGUAUGGUGCAAGUUGGAAAAAAAAAACCUUAACACACGGGAAAAGUUACGGAAUUUGCUUGAAAAAUACAAACAUUGAAAAAAAGAUAUUAAGAUAAAAGGACAAUUUUUUUAAAGCAAAUAGUUAUUACUUAAUGGCUUCCAUAAAUUGUUUAUAAACAUAAAAGAAUUAAAAAUUUAUUACUUUUGCAACAUAAAAAAAGAAAAUAAUAAAAUUAUACCACGAAACCCAUUUAAAAUUUCAAAUAUUUUAAGAAAUACACAAAAAAAGUUAUUUAAUUAAUAAAUUGUGAAAAUAAUAAAAAGAUGCAGAAAAAAAAUUAGAUAAUUGUGUCCAUAAACUUGUGGUUAAAACAUAGAAUGUGAAAGAAACAAAUUCUAAAAUUUCAUGAAAAAUUAUUAGAAAAAUUAGUUUUAUUUUUUUUCUUUCUGCAAACAUUUUAAAAUUUUCCUUUUUACUGCUUGCUACUUGCUGCUGUUGUUUGUUGCCCACAUAUUUUUGGCACAUGCGUGUAUCUACAACAAUUGACUACAACAACCACAAUAACAACAACAAAAGCAACAAGACCAAAUAGUAAAAAACAUUAACGUAUAAAUUGGAUUAUAAUAGCAACGACAACAACAAAAACACAACAAUUACUGCAACAACAAUUCAACAAAACAAAAAAAAAAAACAAUAUCAACAACAUUUAAACGAGAUUUAAAUAAUAAAUUUUAAUUCACUGCUGGAGAAGAUAACACGAGCAACACAGAAACGGCCACUAAAAAUAAAAUCUGCUACUUUUAGAAAAAUAAAAAAAAUUAAUACAAGAUAUAUUUGUUCGGAGGGUGAAGAGGUGAAAAGGCUGCAAAUAUGAACAACAUGUUGUUGAUUUAAGCAAAAUUUUUAAAUGCAAAUACAACAUUUUAAAAUCAUUCUAAUAAAAUCAAUACGCUAAACACACGCUGAUCAUCAUUUAGUCUAUUUAAAAUAGAAAGAGAUGUUGAUUAAGGAGUAUCACAUCCCACUGCCGCUCACGGUGGAGGAGUAUCGUAUAGCCCAGCUGUAUAUGAUAGCGAAAAAGAGUCGUGAAGAAAGUCAUGGCGAAGGCAGUGGUGUUGAAAUCAUUAUAAAUGAACCCUACGAUGAUGGGCCAGGUGGCAAAGGACAGUACACCAAAAAGAUCUAUCAUGUUGGCAGUCAUUUGCCAGGCUGGAUUAAAAGUCUGCUGCCUAAAAGUGCUUUAACAGUGGAAGAAGAAGCCUGGAAUGCUUAUCCCUAUACUCGUACACGUUACACCUGUCCAUUUGUGGAAAAAUUCUCCUUAGAUAUAGAAACAUAUUAUUUCCCUGAUAAUGGCUAUCAGGAUAAUGUCUUUAAAUUAACCGGUAGCGAACUAAGAAAUAGGGAAAUUGACUGCAUUGAUAUUGUCAAGGAUCAAUUGUUUGGCGGUGAUUAUGUCAAAGAAGAGGAUCCUAAAUUAUAUGUGUCCGAAAAAACCGGCAGAGGCCCUUUGGGCGAAGACUGGCUGGAGGAGUAUUGGCGUGAAGUUAAGGGCAAAAAACAACCCACAUCUCGUAAUAUGUCCUUGAUGUGUGCCUAUAAAAUUUGUCGUGUAGAAUUUCGCUACUGGGGCAUGCAAACUAAAUUGGAAAAAUUCAUACACGAUGUAGCUUUAAGAAAAACAAUGUUAAGAGCCCAUCGUCAAGCCUGGGCCUGGCAAGAUGAAUGGCAUGGUCUAACCAUUGAAGAUAUUAGAGAAAUUGAAAGACAAACCCAAGCCGCAUUGGCGCGUAAAAUGGGUGGUGGUGAUUUAAGUGGUGAAGAAGAGGAGGAGGAAGAAAGCAUUUCUGAAGGUCAUUUGGAAUCACAUUCUGCCGAUACUGAGGAACGUGUGAUUAAAGAACCUCCCGUUGUUACAGAGCAACCACCCAGUGAGGAAGUUUCUUCGGAUGAUGAAGAAGUACCCGAACAAAAUAAUUCCAGCGAAAGAUCUCGUUCUCAAAGUAUACAAAUGAUUAAAUCAAAAUCUGGCUCCAAACCGGGCGGUCUACACUCACCUUUAGGAUCUGCGCAUAGUUUUGAGUUACAGCAGCAUGCCAAAAAUGCUAAGCGUAAAAACGUGGCUAAUUGGCGUAUGGAACGUUUGGAAGUUGAUUCAAAAUCGAAUUCGGAAGAAGAAUUUUUCGAUUGUGUGGAGGAAAUUCCAAUUUCAGAUACAAAUGACAGCAAUUCUUUGGCGAAAUGGAGUUCUUUGGAAUUGUUGGGUGAACCAGAUGAUAGUCCGCCGCCACAUAGUAGUGGUCAAGGUAAGAGUAAACAGGAGGAUAGUAUAUUCAAUCAAGAUUUUCUAAUGCGUGUGGCCUCGGAGAGAGGUACUAGAAGACAAUUGCGUUCAUCGCAAAGCGUGGAAAGAGGUCAUGAUAUAUCACCGCCUGGUUCGCCGGGCACACCAUCUUGUUCCACCACCAUUUUGAUAUUGGUAGUACAUGCUGGAAGUGUAUUGGAUGCUACCAGUGAAUUGACUUCCAAAAAAUCUGAUGUCACCACAUUUCGUGGUUCUUUUGAGUCUGUUAUGCGUCAACAUUAUCCGAGCCUAUUGACCCAUGUUACCAUUAAAAUGGUACCAUGUCCAUCCAUUUGUACCGAUGCUCUGGGCAUUUUGUCUAGCUUAAGUCCAUAUUCAUUUGAUUCUUCACCCUCAGCUGAUAUACCCAAUAUAGCGGAUGUUCCUAUUGGCGCCAUUCCAUUGCUGGCGGUCUCAUCACCAGAAUUUCAGGACACUGUCAAUAAAACCGUACAGGCAGCUAAUAUUGUUUACCAUGAAUUUCUUAAAUCAGAGGAAGGUCAUGGUUUCUCUGGACAAAUUGUAAUGUUGGGAGAUUCUAUGGGUUCUCUGUUGGCUUAUGAGGCAUUGUGUCGUACUAAUGGCAACGAUGGUACCAGUCGUUCUUCACGCAACACGGAUGAUGAUGAACGUUUUGAUGAUUCCGAAUUGGAUGCUAAACGUUUAUUGGUGGCACCCUCACCGCGCCGAAGACGUUCUUCUUCCUCAAGUGAUUCGAAACAUGCGAAAUUAGACUUUGAAGUGGGUGACUUUUUUAUGUUUGGUUCCCCACUAUCUAUAGUAUUGGCAGCUAAAAAAUUACAUGAUUCUAAAACUGCUCUACAACGUCCCAACUGUAAUCAGGUUUAUAAUAUGUUCCAUCCUACCGAUCCAACGGCUUCCCGUUUAGAACCUUUACUAAGUGCCAGAUUUUCCAUGCUGGCUCCCGUUAAUGUACCCCGUUAUGCCAAAUAUCCACUGGGGAAUGGUCAGCCAUUGCAUUUAUUGGAGGUUAUUCAAUCAAAUCCCCAACAUUUUAAUGACUCCAACAACAUUAUGUGCGGUCGUCGUUUAUCAGAUGCUUCCAUGCAAAGUACAGUAUCCGGUCUUAUAGAAAAUGUAUCAUUAAGUACCAUUAAUUCAUUACAAAUGAAAUGGUGGGGUACAAAACGUUUAGAUUAUGCCAUGUAUUGCCCAGAAGGUUUAAGUAACUUUCCAGCCAAUGCUUUGCCACAUUUAUUCCAUGCCAGCUACUGGGAAAGUGCUGAUGUUAUAGCAUUUAUAUUAAGACAAAUUGGUAAAUUUGAAGGCAUUCCAUAUGUUACAUCCAUGGACAACAAAGAAACUGUCCACUUUAAUCCCGGCCAACCGAGAGAAAAAUGGAUACGCAAACGUACCUCGGUGAAAUUGAAAAAUGUGGCCGCCAAUCAUCGUGCCAAUGAUGUGAUAGUUUUAGAGGGACGUGAGCAACGUCUGAAUGCUCGUUUUAUGUAUGGUCCUUUGGAUAUGAUCACUCUACAUGGCGAAAAAGUUGAUAUACACAUAAUGAAAGAUCCACCCGCUGGCGAGUGGAGUUUUCUUAGUACAGAGGUUACCGAUAAAACUGGUCGGAUUUCCUACAGCAUACCCGAACAUGUAGCAUUCGGUUAUGGCAUUUAUCCCAUUAAAAUGGUAGUGAGAGGUGAUCACACUUCAGUGGACUGUUAUUUAGCGGUGGUGCCACCUUUAACGGAAUGUGUAGUCUUUAGUAUAGAUGGCUCAUUUACCGCCUCGAUGUCGGUGACCGGACGUGAUCCUAAAGUAAGAGCUGGGGCGGUAGAUGUUUGCCGUCAUUGGCAGGAAUUGGGUUAUUUAUUAAUCUAUAUAACCGGUAGACCGGAUAUGCAACAGCAACGUGUUGUUUCCUGGCUGAGUCAGCAUAAUUUUCCUCAUGGUCUCAUAUCAUUUGCCGAUGGUCUUUCCACUGAUCCGUUGGGUCAUAAAACCGCUUAUCUAAAUAAUCUGGUGCAAAAUCAUGGAAUCUCAAUAAUGGCCGCUUAUGGUAGCAGUAAAGAUAUUAGUGUUUAUACCAAUGUGGGCCUAAGAUCAGAUCAGAUAUUUAUAGUGGGAAAGGUUAGCAAAAAAUUGCAAACCAAUGCCACAGUAUUAAAUGAUGGUUAUGCUGCUCAUUUAUCGGCCUUGCAAGCUGUGGGCGGUUCUCGACCCGCCAAAGGCAAUGCUCGUAUGGUUAUACCACGCGGUUGUUUCAAUUUACCGGGUCAAACUACUAAUCCUCGACGUAGGAGCAACGAGACCGGUCUAUCUUCGCCAAUACGCAGUGGCUACUUAAAACGUAAAACCUAUUUUAGUCACCAAUAAAACUGAAACUGAAAAAACCUAACGAUCCAAAGUCAUCAAAAAAGAACAAGAUCCUGUUGACGGGAAUAUAUCACCAUGUCACCAACAACAGCCAACCACCAUAUUCAUUUUGUUAGAUGAUAUUAAAAAAACAGUUAUAACUUAAUAGUUGUUAUAACAAACAAAAAAAUAUAAUACCAGUUCCAUUAGUUAAAAUAAUGCAGUUUAGAGAGACGUUAACUAUUAGAGAGACGUUUGUUCCAUUAACUAAAGCAUGCCUACUUACUAUACACAUCAAAAUAGCUGAGAUAUCAUUGCAAUUUAUUCAAUUACAAAAUAAAACAAAAAUCAAAAACUACUAUAAUUUACUCGUAUUUAACCAGAAUUAACUAAAAAUAUCAAAAAAGAAAAAUGCAAAAAAAAAACAAAUUCAACAAUUCGUUUACAUUAAAAAAUGCAAAAGAAUAUAGCUGGAGAAAUCAUACAUCAUUCCAAUUAAACAAAAUUGCGAAAUAAUUAAUACUUUAAUAAUAAUUGUUAUUGUUCAAUUAAAACUAUAAGAACAAUUAAGAAAAUAAAGACAUCGUCUAACAUUGUCACGCAGUACCUGGCUAGAAAGACUGUUUCCUCCUGUUGUUUGAUGGUAUUACAAACUACAUAAAAAAACUCAAACAGAAACCGAAACAAAUACUAAGUAAUCAGAUUAAAAAACAAAACAAUACAUGCU
Lucilia cuprina (Australian sheep blowfly) is the source of this 5378-nucleotide RNA transcript. It is a transcript of the gene named protein retinal degeneration B, with no coding region annotated. NCBI's taxonomy places the organism in Eukaryota, Metazoa, Arthropoda, Insecta, Diptera, Calliphoridae. The record is from RefSeq and is a predicted model, not a curated record. The transcript is spliced from 17 exons.